This 465-nucleotide ribosomal RNA is filed under the name uncultured Streptococcus sp. Its description in RNAcentral is "bacterial SSU rRNA". It matches the Rfam family "Bacterial small subunit ribosomal RNA", at positions 338 to 795 of the family's 1533-position model. Lineage: Bacteria; Bacillati; Bacillota; Bacilli; Lactobacillales; Streptococcaceae. The record is from RNAcentral.
CCUACGGGAGGCAGCAGUAGGGAAUCUUCGGCAAUGGACGAAAGUCUGACCGAGCAACGCCGCGUGAGUGAAGAAGGUUUUCGGAUCGUAAAGCUCUGUUGUAAGAGAAGAACGAGUGUGAGAGUGGAAAGUUCACACUGUGACGGUAUCUUACCAGAAAGGGACGGCUAACUACGUGCCAGCAGCCGCGGUAAUACGUAGGUCCCGAGCGUUGUCCGGAUUUAUUGGGCGUAAAGCGAGCGCAGGCGGUUAGAUAAGUCUGAAGUUAAAGGCUGUGGCUUAACCAUAGUACGCUUUGGAAACUGUUUAACUUGAGUGCAAGAGGGGAGAGUGGAAUUCCAUGUGUAGCGGUGAAAUGCGUAGAUAUAUGGAGGAACACCGGUGGCGAAAGCGGCUCUCUGGCUUGUAACUGACGCUGAGGCUCGAAAGCGUGGGGAGCAAACAGGAUUAGAUACCCUGGUAGUC